This is a long non-coding RNA of Felis catus (domestic cat), 1558 nucleotides long. RefSeq lists it as uncharacterized. NCBI's taxonomy places the organism in Eukaryota, Metazoa, Chordata, Mammalia, Carnivora, Felidae. The record is from RefSeq and is a predicted model, not a curated record. The transcript has 4 exons.
UAAUGUGCCUAAAAUUCAUCCUUUGCCUUUAAAAACUGUAAGUCCCUCAGAACAUAAUUGAAGUUUCUGCCUGAAUUUUUAUCUCCCCAAUUGCAAUUCCUAAGACCCCAAAUAAGCACUUUCUUUUACAGCUUUGCUUUAUUGUUUUACAGCCUUGUCUUUUCUUAUUUGGCAAAAGAUAACUGUAAUUUUCCUUAAUAUCUCCAAUGUCCAGACUAUAUUCAAGUUUCACAGACAUCUUCUAAACUUUUUUUUGUUUAUGUAUUUAUUUUGAGAGUGGGGGAAGGGUCAGGGAGAGAGGGAGAGAGAAUCCCAAGCAGGCUCCAUGCUGUGCUGGUAGGAGACAACCAUGAGAUCAUGACCUGAAUGGAAACCAAGAGUCAGUUGCCUAACUGACUGAGCCACCCAGGUGCCCCUCAAAUGUUUUUAAAAUGCAGAAAAGCCAUAGAAAUCACCUCAACCUCAGGGGAUGAGGUUUGAAUGUAGGAGUAGUAGCCUUGAAUCCCACUGACUCAAGUACAUACUUCUGGGACCAUUCUCUUUGGCUUCUUUUGCAUUUGUGCAUCCCUCAUUCCACCUCCCUUUUCUGGUAUUCACUGGUAGGGCAUCUCUGAGCUUUGUUGUGUUUGCUCCUGUGCAGGGUGAGCACCAGGAGGUUACCCCUAGGACCUUUUGGGGUCUGCAGCAGGGGGAGUGACCCCAGCCCUUUCAGCUCUGUCUGGACACAAGUGGAUCCAGACUCUUCCUCUGGAGCAGGUGUCCUUGAGGGCUGGAUGUAUGGACCCUGUGCUUGAAUUCCACCUCUGUCACCUUUAAGCCAGGUGACAAAUCCACAAUGACAGAAAGAACCUGGCUGGACCACAGUUCUCUACACUCUCUUGAGACUCAGAAAAAGAACACAUCUCAGGAUCAGAAGGUUUACAAACAUGAUGAACGUGCAGAAAGAGACAAGAAACAGUGAACAUUAACUCAUGUGUGUGAGACAAAAGGCAGCAGUGUCCUACAAGGACAUGACUACAGAGUUUACCCAGGAGGACUGGAAGCAGCUGGACCCUGCUCAGAGGACCAGUAUAGAAAUCUGAUGCUGGACAACUACAGCCACUGUCCCAGUGGCAAGCACACCUUACCAUGUGACUUCCUCAAGAAUGUAUCUAUUUGUUCUUUUUUAAUAUUAAUCGCAUUUGUAGAAGUAUAUUUAACAGCAAUUUUUAUUGUCCAGUUCACUGAAUUUUGAGAAAUAAAUGCAGUUGAUUUCUACCACCAAAAUCAUAGUGUCCUUGUAACCCUUGCUGUCAUUCCCAUCCUUGUUCUAUUCCCGCCCCUCAGGGCCCUAGCAGCCACUAGAAACCACUCUUCUGCUUUCUAUCAUAAUUGUUUGGACUUUUUUACAAUUAUAUAUAAUGGAAUGAUACAGUGUAUACUCUCCUUUGGUUUAUUUCACUUGGCAUAAUGCUUUUAUAAGGCAUGUUGAUUGUAGAUCAGUAGUUUAUUCUUUUUAUUCCUGAGUCAUAUUCAUUUGUGUACAUAUACCACAAUCUGUUAUCCACUUCACAAUUGA